This 4957-nucleotide long non-coding RNA is filed under the name Solanum tuberosum (potato). Its description in RNAcentral is "long non-coding RNA (STUB_LNC007799)". The record is from RNAcentral. Lineage: Eukaryota; Viridiplantae; Streptophyta; Magnoliopsida; Solanales; Solanaceae.
CAACGUUAGCAUCCAACUCCAAACAAUUCCAACGACUCCAACUGCAGGCAGCAUCUUCACGCUAGCAGAAAAUGACAAAGCCAUUAAAUGCUCAAUGACAGCAGCUCAGACGGCAACAAUGACAUAUACACGGAAAGACGAGCGACGCCUACACGAAGAUAGACGGAAAGCAGUAGUCGUUCACGCGUCUCCUUCAGCCUACUAUUUCUGUAAGACUCUCUGCGAUUCCAGAAGGCAGCAGGCACAUUUUUCCUACCUUUCCUCUUCCGGAAUAGAGUUGAAGCUUCAGAAAAGAGUGUCGUCCUAAAAUGGUGAAAGUUGGAGUUUGAAUUUUUUUGGAAUGGGCCUCGUCCCUAUCCGAAAAUCUCCCGCCUAUCCACCCGUUUUGCCCUAAUUUCGUUGAUAAAUAGUUCUAUGUCCUUCGUUGUUAAGGGGGCAGAUUUUUUUUAACGAAAAAAAAAAAAUUCAACUAAGACAUCCAAAGUAACUCAUACCUACAAAAACAUAUUUCAAAGAGAAACAGAGGAGGGACUUGUUUUUGUGUCUUUUUGGUUUGAUAUUCUUGCCCAAAUUUCUUGGCUACUGUUCGUGUUUCGGAUUUCGCGUGGUGAAGGUUGUCCUUCCAACUCGUCCUGUCCUUGUUCGCUGCACCUUGAAAGGUAACACCUCAUCUAUAAUGUUCUUUUCAUUUUUUUAUUUUUUUUUUGGAUUAAAGGGCGUUUAAGACCAUUGUUUCGUUGUUGUAUUUUUGUCAUUUGACAUCGGACAGUGGUAGCUGGUAUAUAUACUUUGCUUGUAUGCUAUUCCUCUUGGUUUUCUAUUGAAUAUCGAGUUGAAAACUUUGUUAUUUUAGUGUUAGUUUGGUUGAUUCUCCAUGUCGCCUCUUAAGUUUAUUUUGUUGCAACAAGGUUGUUAGUAUGUUGGUGUUGAGGUACGCCCCAAAUCGGUUAAGUUGAGUGUGCUUCAUCCAUGAUUUUGUUCUGUUUUCAACAUCUCUUUCCACUUGUUUACCUGUUACUUCGGUGAAAUUUGCUUUUCCUUUCCCUUUCCCCUCAAUCCUAAAGCAUGUAUGUCACUAUGUUACUGUUUGUUGAAUAAAUGUUCAAAAAAAUGGUUCCUCAAGUUUCAUCCUUAAGUUUGGAUUUUUUUUUUAUUUUUUUUUAUUAUUUUCUUUUUCUUUUUCUCUUUACUAGUUUGAUCUUGUUGAGAUUAAGUAUGCCUUGUGAAAUUGCUUGACCCAUCUCUUUAAUACUAGAUAUUUAGGUCCAACUCUCUUUCCCUUAUUUCUUUGUUUUGUUUGUUUACCUGUUAUUAUCUGUUAUUAAUCUUAAAGUUAAAAAUUUCAAACCCCCAAAAGACACUUAUUCUGAAUUAAUCACUUAACUAAAUUAUUCGUCUCUUACUAGAUUUAAGAAAUAAGUAAAUAAAUAAAUAAGUUUACAAAAUACUUCACUUAAAUAAUAUUGCAAUAUUUUUCUAUUUUUCCCUUAAAAUGGCCCUAACUAUAAAAUAGUUCGGUUCUGCAAUUCAUGCUAAGUUAAAAUUAGCGGACAUUUCGGGUGCUUUCAAACCCUUCCCGAAUAUGCUAAUAAGAACCCCGAACCCUUUUAAGUUUUCAUUAGAUUCCUGUUUUAGUCUUUUGAAAACAAAUAGUUUUCUUGAUUUUUCUCAAAAAUUAAGUGGCGACUUUAAAAUCAGUCCAAAAUAUAUAUUUUAAAUAAAACAAUCGGAAGAUUUACUCUUAAACAUAUUCAUGUUUUUCAAUAUUAGUUCUAUAAUAUGUAGGUCGCUUGACCAAAUUAUAUUAAUAAUGGAAUAUGUUUUUAGUAUUCUUUUGUUUGUCAUCUAAUUUAUCAGCAUAUGAUUUGCAAUUGUAAGUUCUGCAUGACACCCUAAUCACUUUCGAACUCAACAAUUUUUAAAUACCAAGUACCAUAUCGAAUACAAAAAAAAAUGUUAUCAUAUACCAUAUCAAAUACCAUAAGGUAUUGUUUGAUAUUACAAAAAAGAUUAUGGUGGAUGAGGUAUAUCAUGUAAUGGCCUAACCCAUCAAUGAUCCCUUAAUGUUGGCACGAAGUUUCACUUGGACACCUCAACUGGACGAUGUUCAUUCUAGACACCUCGUGUAGAGUUCAAUUGUGUUAUUUUGAUACUUUUUUUUCAAUCAACAAAAUUAUAUGAGGUGUGUGUUACACUUGCGAAUGACGUGUAAAGUAACAAAUUAAAUGAUGAGACUUGUCAAACACCCCUGCUACCCAUCUGCAGAAAAAUACCCCGUGCCCCCCGCCCCUACCUCACACUGCCUUCUCCAAAUACCUAUCCACUUGCAGACACCCCCGUUCCUCCCCUGAUUUUUUUUGUCCAAAUCCCUGUUUUUGCAUAACAUCUGGGCACACACGCACUUACACACGGUCCAUGAAUAAUUUAAUACUUAAAUCUCGAAAUGGAUCUAUUCUUAAAUUUCUAAAAUAUUUUUCAUCAUCUUAUUGUAACUAUAUUUAUUAACCAUUGUUGGAGGGUUUUCACGCGCGGUCAACGAGUGUAUUACACUUACUAAGCCAUGUAAACAGAAAAUGUCAAAAUGACAUAAUAGGAGUCAACAUAAGAUGUCUGAAAUGAACAUCGUCCAGUUAAUAUGUCUAAAUAAAAUUUCGUGUUAAUUUUAAGGGGCCACCGAUGAAUUAGGCCACCAUGUAAUAGUUGUAUGAGAGAUUUUUUUAAUAGAAAAAAAAGUACAUUUUGUAGGUUCCAUGUCUUUUCAACCUCUCCCUUUCUCUUCUCACUCCUCCACCCCACCUUAUAUUUACCCCUCUUUAAUAUGAAGUACUUUAUCUUAUUAUUUUUUAAUUUAAAUAUAUUUCAUUACAUAAAUUUAAAAUAAUUCAAUAACAAGAUCAAAGCAAAAAAAAAGAGAGAGUAAUAUAUUAAAAUUAGCAUUUCAGUAUUUCUUAAAAUUAAUAUUUAUUUUCCUUACCUUUUUUAUAGUUCAUAAUAUUCAUUUGUCAAAAAUCAAAUAGAGAUAAAUAUAUUGAUACUAAUUUAAAUUUAAAGUCAAAUAAUUACGUUCUUAAAAAAGGUAAACUAAAAUGCGUGCACUUAACAUCAUAAAAAAUUAAUUGUUUUAGUUUUAGGAUAAAUAUAAAUAGUUAUUUAAAUUACUUUAAUCAAUUCUUCUUUUUUUCAUUUUACUCUCUCCAUCAAUUUAUUCGAUUAUUUUUUUCUUGAAAUUCAAGCUAUAAAAUGUAUUUUUUUUAUAUGCUAACAUGAUAAGAAUUGCAACUUAUAGUAUAUUUGGUUGUAUUGCUACUUAGUGGGAAGGUAUUUAUGAACAAACAUUAUAAGUUGUAGUUCUUAUGUUAAUAUAAAAAAUAAAAAUAUAUUUUAAAAUAUUAAUUAAUUUCACAUUGCUUGAUUUCAAGAAUAAAAAGAUAUCAUAUAAAUUGACAGAAGAGUAUGUAUAUAUUUAAGUGUUUAUGAAAAAAAAUUGAUUUUGGGUUACAUUAAAAUAGUAUAAAAACUUAUGUAAUUAUUUGUCAAGAUUAUUGAUGCUCUUUUCAUUAUAUUUUCUUGUGAAUAUUUGAUGAAUUUAAGUAUAUAUGAAAUUAUUGAGAAGAGAAAAUAAUAAUAAUUUAUACCCCUUUCGUUUUUCGUAUUAGUUAUUUAAUUUUUCUUUUACGAAUUCUUUAAGAAAUUAUAAAUAAAAACGAUACUUUAUUAAUUUACUCCUUAAGAAUUGUUUUUGCAAUUUUACAAAAUUUGUUUAUAUUUUUAAGAAUAAUUAAUUAUUAGUGUAAUGAAAAUAAAAAUAAAAAUAAAAAUAAAAAUAAAAUUAUAGUUUAAUUUGUUAAAUGACAAAUAAUUUUUAAUAAUUAUUUUUAGUAAUGUAAUUAAUCAAUACAUGAAAGAAAAAUAAUAUCAAAUGCUAAAAGUACGAUGAAUUAGGUUAAAUUUCACAUUUUUUGUACAUAAAAUUAUUUUUUUUAAAAAGGAAAAAAAAGAAGAGGAAGAGUUGUUGAAAAAUUGAAGAUUUGAAUCAAAGUGAAAAAAUUAAAAAGUAAAAGAGAGAAAUGAAUUUGGCCCAUUAUUCUGAAAAUGGGACCUCAUGCAAUUUUUGGUUGUCACAUAAUACCUAUCCCUAAUCCACCAGAAAAAAAUUCCAUUUAAUUAUAUUCUUGAGAAAAUUUAUCAUGUGCAAUCAGAGGCGGGGCAAGAUCAUUUAAAGUUCAUGGAUUUGAAAUUUUAAUUUUUCUAAGUUUUCGGUUCUAAAUUAAUAAUUUGUAUAUAUUCAACAGAUUUUGUACUACAAAUUCCGAAUUUGAAUAAAAAAUUACUCGGUUUGAUUACCGGACAUUACUGAGCUAAUUUAACUGGAUGGGAUCCGUUUCCGCCUUAUGUUCAUUUAACAUUAGUCAAAGUUUAUUAUGCAGGGACAGCUCACAUUUUUGGUGACAUUUAUUAAUGAGGAGAUAAUUUUCUCAUCGUAGUUCAGCCAAAAAAAACUCUCGCCGUAAUUAUAGAGAUCAAAGCACCGUAAUUGAUAGAAAAUGUACUCUGUUUGAAAGAGUUACAAAGUAAAAAAAAAACAGGACUUUUGCAGGGGGGGAUUUAGGCACAGGUGCAAGGUCUGGUUGGUAGCGUUUUGACUAUUUCCUUACUUGUCGGUGUAAUGUCAAAAUGGAUUUGGCCUGCAAUGCCGGUCCAAUCCAAUCCUUGAAUUAAAUGGGGUUGGACUCAAAUUUUUCAGUCCAUUUAAGAACGAGGCCUUUUAGUCCAGCCUCCUUUGGCCCGCUGGCCUCGUAGGCCCAACCCGCAAGUCUCAGAGGUCAGCCCAUGGACUGUGAAUUUUAAAAAUAUUUAUUAUAUAUAUUUUAAGUAGUGUUUUACUUGUUAAGAUUUUAUCAAUAAAUAUUUUUAAAAUAUCAAUAUAAAAUCAAGACUAUAUUUGUUUUUUUUUUUU